CGGACACAACAUCUUUGUUUGUAUGUGGUGCUGAGGAUCGAACCCGGGCCGCACGCAUGCCAGGCAAGCCCGCUACCGCUUGAGCCACAUCCCCAGCCCAUAAUUUGUUUUGUGUUUUGUUUGGGUACUGGAGAUUGAACCCAGAGAUACUCUACCUCUGAGCUACAUUCCCAGUCCCCCAGACUUUUUUAUUUAUUUAUAUAUUUGUUUUUUGAGACAGGGCUUCACUGGGUUGCUGAGGCUGGCCUGAAACUCCUGAUCCCCCUGCCUCAGCCUCCCGAGCUGCUGGCAUUACAGGUGUACACCCCCGUGCCUGACAGUUUUUGAGACAGUGCUUUGCUAAAUUGCUGAGGCUAGCCUUGAACUUGUGAUCCUCCUGCCUCAGCCUCCAUAGUUGCUGGGAUUACGGGCAUGCACUGCCUUACAUGACUUAAAACAAAAAAUUUCCACAUUUGAUACAAAAGGACGUGUGGCAUCUAAUGUGUUAGAAACUGAGUUGGACAUUGCACACCCUGUGACUCCAACCCCCACCCUCCCCAAGAGCCAGAACAUGACCAAUCAAUCCCUUUGCAGAUUCCUGGGUCCUUCUUUGUGCCAUCUCCAUUCCCCUCAAACAGGCUGCCAUUCGAAUUUUGUACUUUACCUUCCUUAGACUUGAGACAGGUUCUUCCUAAAUUGGCCAGACUAGCUUCGAACUUGGACUCUCCCUGCUUCGCCCUCCUGAGUUGCUGGGGUACAGGUGUGUGCCACCAUGCCUAGCCUCCUCCCAUGAUUUUUGAUAUAUUCGUCAUGGGUAUGCAUGGCCAAAC
Molecule: long non-coding RNA, 809 nt
Filed under: Marmota monax (woodchuck)
Lineage: Eukaryota; Metazoa; Chordata; Mammalia; Rodentia; Sciuridae
Source: RNAcentral